CCCUUAGAUGUCCUGGGCCGCACGCGCGUUACACUGAUGCAUUCAACGAGCUUAUAACCUUGGCCGAGAGGCCUGGGCAAUCUUGUUAACGUGCAUCGUGAUAGGGAUAGAUUAUUGAAAUUAUUAAUCUUGAACGAGGAAUUCCUAGUAAACGCAGAUCAUCAAUCUGCAUUGAUUACGUCCCUGCCCUUUGUACACACCGCCCGUCGCACCUACCGAUUGGAUGGUCCGGUGAAGCCUCGGGAUUGUGGUUCUUGCCGCUUUAUUGUGGCGUGACCGCGAGAACUUGUCUAAACCUUNUNAUCUAANGGAAGGUGAANUCGUANCA
Molecule: ribosomal RNA, 328 nt
Filed under: uncultured eukaryote
Lineage: Eukaryota
Description: partial 18S ribosomal RNA
Rfam family: Eukaryotic small subunit ribosomal RNA
Source: RNAcentral